RNAcentral lists this ribosomal RNA (403 nucleotides) under uncultured bacterium. RNAcentral's name for it is "partial 16S ribosomal RNA". It matches the Rfam family "Bacterial small subunit ribosomal RNA", at positions 29 to 526 of the family's 1533-position model. The record is from RNAcentral.
UACUAACUCUAUCUUCUUUCCUAAUACAUGCAAGUCGAACGCAGUGGGGACGGGUGAGUAACACGUGGGUAACCUCCCAUCAGAGGGGAUAACACUUGGAAACAGGUGCUAAACCGAUAUUGAUGGAUGGACCCGCUGUGCAUUAUCUAGUUGGUGGGGUAACGGCUCACCAAGGCCACGAUGCAUAGCCGACCUGCGAGGUGGAUCGGCCACCUCGGGACUGAGACACGGCCCAGACUCCUACGGGAGGCAGCAGUAGGGAAGCUGCGGCAAUGGACGAAAGUCUGACCGAGCAACGCCGCGUGAGUUAAGAAGGUUUUCGGAUCGUAAAACUCUGUUGUUAGAGAAGCGGUAUCUAACCAGAAAGCCACGGCUAAAUCAGUGCAAGAAGCAGAGGUAAUAC